AGCAGCCGCGGUAAUUCCAGCUCCAAUAGCGUAUAUUAAAGUUGUUGCAGUUAAAAAGCUCGUAGUUGAAUUUCGAGAUCAAUUUGUGGGUCGUGCCUCGGUACGUACUGGCAUUAUUGAUUUCUCCCUUCUGAAGAACCGCGAUGUCAUUAAUUUGGUGUCGUGGGGAAUCAGGACUGUUACUUUGAAAAAAUUAGAGUGUUUAAAGCAGGCUUACGCUUGAAUACAUUAGCAUGGAAUAAUGAAAUAGGACGUUUGAUUCUAUUUUGUUGGUUUCUAGGAUCGACGUAAUGAUUAAUAGGGAUAGUUGGGGGCAUUAGUAUUCAAUUGUCAGAGGUGAAAUUCUUGGAUUUAUUGAAGACUAACUACUGCGAAAGCAUUUGCCAAGGAUGUUUUCAUUAAUCAAGAACGAAAGUUAGGGGAUCGAAGACGAUCAGAUACCGUCGUAGUCUUAACCAUAAACUAUGCCGACUAGGGAUCGGAUGAUGUUAAUUUUUUAAUGACUCA
RNAcentral lists this ribosomal RNA (507 nucleotides) under uncultured Glomus. Its description in RNAcentral is "SSU rRNA". It matches the Rfam family "Eukaryotic small subunit ribosomal RNA", at positions 569 to 1078 of the family's 1831-position model. Lineage: Eukaryota; Fungi; Glomeromycota; Glomeromycetes; Glomerales; Glomeraceae. The record is from RNAcentral.